RNAcentral lists this ribosomal RNA (253 nucleotides) under uncultured bacterium. RNAcentral describes it as "partial 16S ribosomal RNA". It matches the Rfam family "Bacterial small subunit ribosomal RNA", at positions 524 to 776 of the family's 1533-position model. The record is from RNAcentral.
UACGAAGGGUGCAAGCGUUGUUCGGAAUUACUGGGCGUAAAGCGCGCGUAGGCGGCUUGAUAAGUUGGAAGUGAAAUCCCGGGGCUUAACUCCGGAAUUGCUUUCAAAACUGCCAAGCUGGAGUAUGAUAGGGGACAGUGGAAUUCCUAGUGUAGAGGUGAAAUUCGUAGAUAUUAGGAGGAACACCAGUGGCGAAAGCGACUGUCUGGAUCAUUACUGACGCUGAGGCGCGAAAGCGUGGGGAGCAAACAGG